AGCCAGACUCCUACGGGAGGCAGCAGUGGGGAAUAUUGGGCAAUGGGCGCAAGCCUGACCCAGCAACGCCGCGUGAAGGAAGAAGGCUUUCGGGUUGUAAACUUCUUUUAAGAGGGAAGAGUAGAAGACGGUACCUCUUGAAUAAGCCACGGCUAACUACGUGCCAGCAGCCGCGGUAAUACGUAGGUGGCAAGCGUUGUCCGGAUUUACUGGGUGUAAAGGGCGUGUAGCCGGGUUGACAAGUCAGAUGUGAAAUCCUGCGGCUUAACCGCAGAACUGCAUUUGAAACUGUUGAUCUUGAGUACUGGAGAGGCAGACGGAAUUCCUAGUGUAGCGGUGAAAUGCGUAGAUAUUAGGAGGAACACCGGUGGCGAAGACGGCCUGCUGGACUGCGACUGACGUUGAGGCCCGAAAGCGUGGGGAGCAAACAGGAUUAGAUACCCGAGUAU
RNAcentral lists this ribosomal RNA (449 nucleotides) under uncultured bacterium. RNAcentral's name for it is "partial 16S ribosomal RNA". It matches the Rfam family "Bacterial small subunit ribosomal RNA", at positions 329 to 793 of the family's 1533-position model. The record is from RNAcentral.